UUUUAUCUGUGAGUAUCUUCAUUAGUUUUCUGUGUUGCCUCUUGCUGGGCUUAUUUAAUUUUCCAGUGAUUAUAUUUUUUCCAUUCUUUCACUUUUCUACAAAAUCCUUCCUUAGGUAGUGGUGGAUCGAGGACUCGGUGAGCACCGAUAGCCACGGGUGCUAGAUCCGCCGAAACAAUUUUUUUUGGUUGACAAUUGAUAUUGCCCUUGUUUGAG
This 216-nucleotide long non-coding RNA is filed under the name Olea europaea (common olive). Its description in RNAcentral is "long non-coding RNA (OEUR_LNC005611)". Lineage: Eukaryota; Viridiplantae; Streptophyta; Magnoliopsida; Lamiales; Oleaceae. The record is from RNAcentral.